This 254-nucleotide ribosomal RNA is filed under the name uncultured bacterium. RNAcentral describes it as "partial 16S ribosomal RNA". It matches the Rfam family "Bacterial small subunit ribosomal RNA", at positions 524 to 776 of the family's 1533-position model. The record is from RNAcentral.
UACGGGGGGAGCAAGCGUUGUUCGGAUUUACUGGGCGUAAAGGGCGCGUAGGCGGCCACCGCAAGUCAAUUGUGAAAUCUCCGGGCUUAACCCGGAACGGUCAAGUGAUACUGUCGUGCUAGAGUACAGAAGGGGCAACUGGAAUUCUCGGUGUAGCGGUGAAAUGCGUAGAUAUCGAGAGGAACACCUGCGGCGAAGGCGGGUUGCUGGGCUGAUACUGACGCUGAGGCGCGAAAGCCAGGGGAGCGAACGGG